ACGACGCCCGACCUUUCCCCCACUACGUAUCUUUGUUACCCCCCACCACUCUACGUACGGUGAAUUACCGAACUAUGCUGUUCCCUCUCUCUCUCCCACUCUCUCUCUCUCUCUCUCCCUCCCUCUUUCUCUUUCUCUUUCUUUCUUUCUAUUUUUCUAUUUCCUUCUCAGUCGCACUGACGUCGCUACUGCGACGACCGGCGCAUCCCUCGUCUUUCCAUUUUCAACGCCGCAGAAAAGUGCAGCCCCAUCUGUAUUAUCCUCCACUACUCCAUCCUAUCUACGCUCCUCCCCGCACCUCAACUAGCUAACCACAAAAAACCACCCCUACCGCUCGUCACCCCUCGUCGAGAACAAGUGGUGGAAAGGCCGAGAGAGACCGUGUCUUCCUAAAAACUUCUUUCUCUCCUUCUCUCUCUCUCUCUCUCUCUUCCUGUUUUUCCUCCCCGUUUUAUGCAACCCUCGUGCGCAAAGGAACGUACAAUCUUCUCUUUACACCCUCUCCCUCUUUCUCACCAACACGCAACCAACAUUUUUAUAGGUUAUCCUACGAACUCUCUUAUGUUUCGAGAAAAUUUUCAAAGGACUUUGAAACUGUUGUCUUUGGUACGAGCUCAGGGGAUGACAGAAUAAAACUGUUACAAGCAUGAUCUCUAUUUACACACAUCCAUAUUCGUACCAAAUUGGACAACCUGUUUUUGGAUCCUUAUCUGUUGGAGUUUCUGUAAGGCCUUCAUCUUGAACCAUAUCUUUUGGCGUUCCACUAUUAAUAUUUUUCGAUUCGUUUAUAACUGCGGAUACUUUGUUGUAUAUUAAAAAUGGACGUGCUUCUGUU
Vespula vulgaris is the source of this 835-nucleotide long non-coding RNA. RefSeq lists it as uncharacterized. The record is from RefSeq and is a predicted model, not a curated record. The transcript has 2 exons. NCBI's taxonomy places the organism in Eukaryota, Metazoa, Arthropoda, Insecta, Hymenoptera, Vespidae.